GACGUAGGGUGCAAGCGUUGUCCGGAUUUACUGGGCGUAAAGAGCGCGUAGGCGGCUUGUUAAGUGUGAAGUGAAAUCUCCAGGGCUCAACCCGGAAACUGCUUUGCAAACUGGCAAGCUGGAGGGAUGCAGAGGUAAGUGGAAUUCCUGGUGUAGCGGUGAAAUGCGUUGAUAUCAGGAGGAACACCCAUGGCGAAGGCAGCUUACUGGGCAUCUCCUGACGCUGAGGCGCGAAAGCGUGGGUAGCAAACAGG
This 254-nucleotide ribosomal RNA is filed under the name uncultured bacterium. RNAcentral describes it as "partial 16S ribosomal RNA". It matches the Rfam family "Bacterial small subunit ribosomal RNA", at positions 524 to 776 of the family's 1533-position model. The record is from RNAcentral.